This 1199-nucleotide ribosomal RNA is filed under the name Bacillus haynesii. Its description in RNAcentral is "bacterial SSU rRNA". It matches the Rfam family "Bacterial small subunit ribosomal RNA", at positions 40 to 1213 of the family's 1533-position model. Lineage: Bacteria; Bacillati; Bacillota; Bacilli; Caryophanales; Bacillaceae. The record is from RNAcentral.
UGGCGGGUGCUAUACAUGCAGUCGAGCGGACAGAUGGGUAAGCUUGCUUCCCUGAUGUUAGCGGCGGACGGGUGAGUAACACGUGGGUAACCUGCCUGUAAGUACUGGGAUAACUCCGGGAAACCGGGGCUAAUACCGGAUGCUUGAUUGAACCGCAUGGUUCAAUUAUAAAAGGUGGCUUUUAGCUACCACUUACAGAUGGACCCGCGGCGCAUUAGCUAGUUGGUGAGGUAACGGCUCACCAAGGCAACGAUGCGUAGCCGACCUGAGAGGGUGAUCGGCCACACUGGGACUGAGACACGGCCCAGACUCCUACGGGAGGCAGCAGUAGGGAAUCUUCCGCAAUGGACGAAAGUCUGACGGAGCAACGCCGCGUGAGUGAUGAAGGUUUUCGGAUCGUAAAACUCUGUUGUUAGGGAAGAACAAGUACCGUUCGAAUAGGGCGGUACCUUGACGGUACCUAACCAGAAAGCCACGGCUAACUACGUGCCAGCAGCCGCGGUAAUACGUAGGUGGCAAGCGUUGUCCGGAAUUAUUGGGCGUAAAGCGCGCGCAGGCGGUUUCUUAAGUCUGAUGUGAAAGCCCCCGGCUCAACCGGGGAGGGUCAUUGGAAACUGGGGAACUUGAGUGCAGAAGAGGAGAGUGGAAUUCCACGUGUAGCGGUGAAAUGCGUAGAGAUGUGGAGGAACACCAGUGGCGAAGGCGACUCUCUGGUCUGUAACUGACGCUGAGGCGCGAAAGCGUGGGGAGCGAACAGGAUUAGAUACCCUGGUAGUCCACGCCGUAAACGAUGAGUGCUAAGUGUUAGAGGGUUUCCGCCCUUUAGUGCUGCAGCAAACGCAUUAAGCACUCCGCCUGGGGAGUACGGUCGCAAGACUGAAACUCAAAGGAAUUGACGGGGGCCCGCACAAGCGGUGGAGCAUGUGGUUUAAUUCGAAGCAACGCGAAGAACCUUACCAGGUCUUGACAUCCUCUGACAACCCUAGAGAUAGGGCUUCCCCUUCGGGGGCAAAAUGACAGGUGGUGCAUGGUUGUCCUCACCUCCUGUCCUGAGAAUGUUGGGUUAAAUCCCGCAACAAGCGCAACCCUUGAUUCUUAUUUGCCACCAUUCAUUUGGGCACUCUAAGGGGACUGGCGGGGACAAACCCGCAGGAAGAGGGGGGAUAAAAUCAAAAAAUAAAUGCCCCUUAUAAACUGGG